UACGUGGGGCGCAAGCGUUGCUCGGAAUCACUGGGCGUAAAGGGCGUGUAGGCGGGAAUGUAAGUCGGGCGUGAAAUCCCUAGGCUCAACCUAGGAACUGCACUCGAAACUGCGUUUCUUGAGUACCGGAGAGGAAAGCGGAAUACCUGGUGUAGAGGUGAAAUUCGUAGAUAUCAGGUGGAACACCAGUGGCGAAGGCGGCUUUCUGGACGGUAACUGACGCUGAGACGCGAAAGCGUGGGGAGCAAACAGG
RNAcentral lists this ribosomal RNA (253 nucleotides) under uncultured bacterium. RNAcentral describes it as "partial 16S ribosomal RNA". It matches the Rfam family "Bacterial small subunit ribosomal RNA", at positions 524 to 776 of the family's 1533-position model. The record is from RNAcentral.